UGGGGGAUAUUGCACAAUGGAGGAAACUCUGAUGCAGCGACGCCGCGUGAGGGAAGAAGGUCUUCGGAUUGUAAACCUCUGUCUUCGGGAACGAAUAAAUGACGGUACCCGGGGAGGAAGCCACGGCUAACUACGUGCCAGCAGCCGCGGUAAUACGUAGGUGGCGAGCGUUGUCCGGAUUUACUGGGUGUAAAGGGUGCGCAGGCGGACCGAUAAGUCGGGGGUUAAAUCCAUGUGCUUAACACAUGCACGGCUUCCGAUACUGUCGGUCUAGAGUCUCGAAGAGGAAGGUGGAAUUUCCGGUGUAACGGUGGAAUGUGUAGAUAUCGGAAAGAACACCAGUGGCGAAGGCAGCCUUCUGGUCGAGAACUGACGCUCAUGCACGAAAGCGUGGGGAGCAAACA
Molecule: ribosomal RNA, 404 nt
Filed under: uncultured bacterium
Lineage: Bacteria
Description: bacterial SSU rRNA
Rfam family: Bacterial small subunit ribosomal RNA
Source: RNAcentral